Molecule: long non-coding RNA, 722 nt
Filed under: Pogona vitticeps (central bearded dragon)
Lineage: Eukaryota; Metazoa; Chordata; Lepidosauria; Squamata; Agamidae
Description: lncRNA (ENSPVIG00000011029.1)
Source: RNAcentral
AAACAGCCUUUUCCCUGCGGUGUAGCUGCACCCUUAUUCACAGUGUAAAGAUUCUCCGUCAGAGACUGCUAAUAUUGCCAACGUUCAGUCUUCGGGAGCAUUUUCCCUCCAUAGACACCAGGAAUGGCUGGACGGGACUCUCUUCCAUCUGCCAAGUUUGACAGAUUCCAAUGAAUCACAACCUUCUUGCUGCCAAUGCAUUUUCUAAUAAUAAACUCACUGACUCCAGACUGCAGAUUAAAACUGCCCACUUUGUCCUUCUCAAAACCCAUGUAGGAAGACUGUGGUUCUGCACGGCCGGCUCAUAUCUGACUUUGCAGCCCUUUGCUUCCCCUUCUUCCAUUGCUCAGAAGAAGAGAAAGAAAAAUGGGCAAAAUUCUGAUAAUAGGUUUUUUCGCUCUGCUCUGUUUCAACAUAGUGGGCGCUCUCCAAUGUCAUUACUGCCGAAAUAUCAAGAGUGAUAACACUUGUAAUCAUAAGGAAAGCACUUGCAAUACAGGAAUAAAAAAUUACUGUUACACGGAAAUAACUGCUAAAGGCUUUUCUAUAACACAUGUGCGACGAGGCUGCAGCAGCGCUUGUCAAAGCGGCAGGCACAGGACAGAUGUGUAUGAGAAAGCGAUGCUGUGUUGCAACAGAAAUCUCUGUAAUGAUCACAAAAUAUGGGACGGCAAUAAAUAAAUGCUUUUUAAAAAUCAAUAAAUAUUUACCAGGGUGGAGCA